AAGAGACAGGUGAAUCAUCGAAUCUUUGAACGCAUAUUGCACCUUAGAGAAUUCUUUAAGGUAUACCUGUUCGAGCGUCGUUUAGAACAAUAAAGCUUUGCUUUGUUUUGGAUUCUGAUUUCGCUUUUUGAAAUCAAUCUCCCAACCACAUUGGCGUUAUUCUGAUCUUGUCAUUAUGCAGUGAAAAUGUAUAGCGACACUAUUGAAUUGGCGCCUAAAAACAGUUUGCAAAAAACUCCAUGUUCGACCUCGAAUCAAGUAAGACUACCCGCUGAACUUAAGCAUAUCAAUAAGCGGAGG
This 300-nucleotide unclassified non-coding RNA is filed under the name uncultured fungus. RNAcentral describes it as "sequence contains 5.8S rRNA gene, ITS2". The stretch from base 1 to 80 matches the Rfam family "5.8S ribosomal RNA", at positions 75 to 154 of the family's 154-position model. Lineage: Eukaryota; Fungi. The record is from RNAcentral.